RNAcentral lists this ribosomal RNA (250 nucleotides) under uncultured prokaryote. Its description in RNAcentral is "partial 16S ribosomal RNA". It matches the Rfam family "Bacterial small subunit ribosomal RNA", at positions 524 to 773 of the family's 1533-position model. The record is from RNAcentral.
UACGUAGGGGGCAAGCGUUAUCCGGAUUUACUGGGUGUAAAGGGUGCGUAGACGGGAAAUUAAGUUGGUUGUGAAAUCCCCAGGCUCAACUUGGGAACUGCAACCAAAACUGGUUUUCUUGAGUGCUGGAGAGGAAAGCGGAAUUCCUAGUGUAGCGGUGAAAUGCGUAGAUAUUAGGAGGAACACCAGUGGCGAAGGCGGCUUUCUGGACAGUAACUGACGUUGAGGCACGAAAGUGUGGGGAGCAAAC